GGGGAGCUGCCCAACACCCCCCGGCGCAGCAGGGGCUGCGCCCGGCAGCCCGCAAGCACCAGCACCACGGCUCCAGCAGCCCUGCGCUGCCUUCUCCCUCGCCCUCCCCGACCCACCAGCCUCCCGCAAGCUUCCUUCCCUCCGCACCUUUUCUGCUGCCUCGCUCAGCCCUUCUCUUUCCCACCCUUGUCCCCAAAGGCCGAGGACAUCCUCGAGGCAGGCGUCCCCUCCGCUGAGCAAACGCGAUGCCUUCUGAUGAAGAAGACUCGGAGAACAACCUGCGGCAGCAGAAGGGCAGCCCAGCGAGCCAAGCUGCGACGAGGUUAUCGAUGCGGCCCGACAGAUACAUCUGCAAGUAUGUGAAGGACCUGGCUGCCUACACGGACCAAGCCAUCUCUCGGAGCAGCCAAAGGAAAAGGCCGAGCUCUUCUGCCUGCCCUGCGCGGAGGAUGUGGAAGACGAAGAGCAGGAAGAGGCAGCGGAGGCAGAGGAGCCAAGGGAGUCUGCUCGGGGCCGUUCUGCUGGAGCUCUUGCGGGAGGGAGGGCUGUGUCGCCCUGGCGCUGAGCACCCAGGGCAGAUGCCCAGGUGUUUGCAAUGCAGAGUGCUGGGCGGGAGCACAGGGAGGUGGGUGCUUGGGCACAGAGCUCGUCCUUCUGCCCUCUGAGCUCUUCUCCUUUCCUCCUCUCCCUUCUCGCAGCUUGCAGAGCAAAUGGCAGCUCCUGCAGCUGGCAGCACGGAUGAGGUUUGCUGCCAGGCAGCCCGAAACAGCAGACUAAGGAAAUGCAUCAGCUUUCCUAGGCCCCACAUGUGCAACCAAGAGGUAUUCUUCUGGGGAAUCAAGUGCUGAGACAUAAGUGGGGAGCUGGCUUGGUGGAGGGAACAGAGCGAGACGAUGCCCUGCAAGCAGGGUGAUCCCCACCCUGUGCUGGCGCGGGGGUGCCACCUUCUCCCAAUCCUCCGAUCCGGCAUAACUUCAGCUGUGAGCCCCGUGCUCUGCAGCAGGGGAUUUUGGCAUGAAGAAGCUGUGUCUCUGGGGUGUCAAGAGGUCUCUUUUAGGGGCCCAGCCAAGCGCUCACAUGUGUGGACUAGCCUGCAACAACUGGAGUCCCAGGGUGGGUGAGGCCAGAAAGGUGCUAACGUGCUUUGGGGCAGGUCUUUCCCAGGCCUGACGUGCACCCAGGAAGACCCCUGGUGCUGCUGCUGCUGCUUUAUUCCUCGUGGUGCUCUCUUGCUCCUCAGAACUUGAGCGAGGUGAGCAGGGCAGACCCCGAGGUCACRGUCGGGUUCAACCAGGAGCUGAGACCGCCAGGCAAGUUCAGCCACCGUCCCAGUGACCGUCCUCCGUGCCUGCUGGCGGCUGCACGCCAAGAGGCGCCGAACCGCCACCGCCGAGGAGCGGCCGCUUGGCGCGGGCAGGGCCACCGCCGAGGCCGAGGGCGCAGCGCCUUCGCCCGC
Molecule: long non-coding RNA, 1456 nt
Filed under: Apteryx owenii (little spotted kiwi)
Lineage: Eukaryota; Metazoa; Chordata; Aves; Apterygiformes; Apterygidae
Description: lncRNA (ENSAOWG00000016766.1)
Source: RNAcentral